RNAcentral lists this long non-coding RNA (2909 nucleotides) under Pan troglodytes (chimpanzee). RNAcentral describes it as "long non-coding RNA NONPTRT009714". Lineage: Eukaryota; Metazoa; Chordata; Mammalia; Primates; Hominidae. The record is from RNAcentral.
CCCAGGUCCGCCAGCAGUGGUGGUGCUGGCUCCAGGGCCGGCAUUGUUAAUGCGUGUUGCCCAGGACGUGGAGCAGGAUCUGGAAAAGGAGAAAAGGUCACCACACCAGUCAUUUUUCACUGGGUUUUCCAAGCACAGAAAUGACCGGGUGGAAUUUAAGGGAAUUGUAGCCCGAAAACACCACCCCCGGAAAGUCUUGCAGACUGCAAGCCCCCUCACCAUCUGGCUUGGCCUCGUUGGGCUCCGGAAGCACCAACUGGCCUAGGACAAUUUCCUGAUGGUCCUCCAAGCCCAGUCCAGGCCAGGCAAAGUUCUUGAAGGCCAGCUUUAUCCAGAAAGAUGACUGUUGCAGGGACUGAUAGCAACCUGAAGAGUUUUCAGCUGGCCAGGUGAACAAAAUGGAGGUGGUGGUGCUGGUGAUGGAGUGGACAGCUGAGUCAGAGGCCUGGUCUUCUCCCACACAACCCUACAGGGCACCCUUGCAUGGUUCUGGGUCCCUGGCCUCUUGCUGCCUGUGCAGAGGACAGCUCCACCCUACUCCAAGCCAUCAGUACUGUCCUGGAAGGGGCAGACCUGCCCAUGCAGCAGGGCUGUACAGACCCCCAUAAGCCCUGGCGUCCCACUGACGUUCUCUUCCCAAAGGCCCUGGAGCACAGCACUGUACACCUGGGCACUCAAGACUGCAGCUGCAGGCAGAUUUGUGAGCAGCUUCCUCAUCAAAGCUCCAGAUCUGGGUCCCCUGGUCCUGGGGUUAGGAGGGAAGGGGCAGAUGUCGGCGGGGGAGGAGGACAGGGAGAGCUGGGAAGCCACGGUGCUGAGGGGGAUGGGUCUACUCAGUGGCCAGCUGUGACCCCAGCCUCCCCUCUGCUUUGCAGGGGACCUAAGUCUCCAUUUACAGAACUCACUUUUUGCCUCUUGUGGGGGAAGUCCCCAGAUGUCAGCCUUCUCGUGGGAAUUAUAAGAAGUAUGAGCCCCAGGGCUCCUUUAGUCUCUCCCCAGCCAGAGUCCACAUAUUUUCCCCCAUGUUUUGUGGGUGAAAAGGCCCUUCAGAACCCUAAAUCCACCCGGUUUAUAUUUGUUGCUGGGCUGCGUCAUUCUAGUCAGAGUCUGGGAGGAUGCCACCAUACGUAGAGGAGGCCAUGAGGGUCUCACCUGUAACAUUCUGUAGAUGUGACUUGUUUAUUCUGUCUACUGUGAGUGCCUGACUCUGAGUAGAAUCAAGGCCGGGGGAUGUCAUCUGCUUUGUUUAUGAAAUGAUGCCAAGCCCCAAGAAGAGCGAUGCACAAAUGAGGUGUUUUGAAUGUAUGUGUUGAAUGAGUGAACCCCAACCUUUGGAGAACCCCAGUGAGCCUCUCCAGAUGUCUGAGUGGGCCUGUGGCUCCUUUUUCAGCACCAAGGGACCCCUCUUCUGUCUGUGUCAAGGAGAAAGACCAGCCAGAAGGAAUCUCAGACAUCCUUUACCAGUGCCAUCGCAGACUUGGUUUCUAUGUGUUUUUCCAAACAGUGAGUGAUAUAGGCCAUUGAGGCAGAAUGCUGAGAGCUGCUUCAAGUGAGGGGGAAGAGAAAAGUAACAAACAUGAAUCACAGCACCCCCAGCAGAUUUUCCAGAGUUUUAGGCUCUAGGGACCCCUUUGUUUGCUGUGUCUUAGAUCAUUGAGUCCCUUCAAGAACCCUGUGAGGUUCGUCUUCUCACUACUCCCUGUUCCAGAGGAGCCAACCGAGGCCCCGAGAGGUGCAUCUUCAAGACAGAGCCAGUAGGGGACAGAGGCACCUCUGUGUCUUGGAGGGGGAUGGACACUCACCUUCUAACCAGUAGUUCCAAAAAGUGUGGCACAGUGAUAAAGUCCCAGGAGGGGCCCAAGCAGGUGGCAUAGGAGGAGAUGGGUUUAGUUAGAAAGGCUGGAACCAGGGACUCCAACAGCUUCUCCCCAGUGCCGGGCUGGAAAGUUAGCAUCCUGCAGAUCUCAUUUUCAUACUAGGGGGACAAGGAGGGACAUGGGAGUCAGUGGUAACACCAUGGACCACCAGAGGAUCGGGAUCUGGAACUCACACCAAGAAGCACCAACCCUUCAGGGACUUGUGCAUGUGGAGAACCUGGGUGCCCAUGGUGAAAAGCGUUCUAGGCUUUCAGAGUAACAUUGCAUGUGAGGAUGGAGAAUGAUAAAACGAUUCCUGCCUUCAAGGCAUCGUCCCGGUGUUUGUCAGCUGUGGGGCAACAGCACCCUCUGUGUCAGCAACCUGCAUGAAGAGCAUCAUCCCUCCAAGUCCUCAAGGCCUGGGGAGGCCUCAUCCCGUCCUCAUUUCAGCAACAGCACACAGGACAAUACGCUCUAGAAGAACUCUUUGACUUAAAGGUAUAUGAUUGUUUUUGUUCCUUUAACAUGAACGUGAGUCUGGAGAAACAGCUACGGCCAUCCCAGCCCUGGCCAAGGGGAAAAUGCCGGAAGACUCCAGGGUGGGAGGAAGCGCGUCCCAAGGCCCAGGAUCUGCGAGGCGACUCGGGGAAAACGCAGGACCUGCUGAAGCUCACACCCGUGGACCACCCAGACUGCCUGCCGCUACAGGAUGCCCUCCGCAUCUCCCAGGACUUCUUUCUGGCAUCAGUGUGGACAUUGACCCCGCUGGACUGCAGUCACAGUGGACUCCCAAGGGGCAGGAUCCACCUCUGAUGUUCAGUGAAGACUACCAGAAAAGUCUGCUAGAGCAGUACCAUCUGGGUCUGGAUCAAAAACGCAGAAAAUACGUGGUUGGAGAGCUCAUCUGGAAUUUUGCCGAUUUCAUGACUAACCAGUAGUGUGUGCAGUGGACCCCAUCAUGGAGAAGUUCAACACAUCCAGCCUACGACCAGCACCUGUGGGAGGUGGAUAUUCAAGGCAGCAGAGCCUACAGCCGGGGCGUGGAGAAGGCAG